UACGGAGGAUGCAAGCGUUAUCCGGAUUUAUUGGGUUUAAAGGGUGCGUAGGCGGGACAGUAAGUCAGUGGUGAAAGCCUGCGGCUUAACCGUAGAAUUGCCAUUGAUACUGCUAUUCUUGAAUGUAGUUGAGGUAGGCGGAAUGUGUAAUGUAGCGGUGAAAUGCUUAGAUAUUACACAGAACACCGAUUGCGUAGGAAGCUUACGAAGCUAUUAGUGGCGAUGAGGCACGAAAGCGUGGGGAGCGAACAGG
This 253-nucleotide ribosomal RNA is filed under the name uncultured bacterium. RNAcentral's name for it is "partial 16S ribosomal RNA". It matches the Rfam family "Bacterial small subunit ribosomal RNA", at positions 524 to 776 of the family's 1533-position model. The record is from RNAcentral.